Molecule: ribosomal RNA, 485 nt
Filed under: uncultured bacterium
Lineage: Bacteria
Description: bacterial SSU rRNA
Rfam family: Bacterial small subunit ribosomal RNA
Source: RNAcentral
GACGAACGCUGGCGGCGUGCUUAACACAUGCAAGUCGAGCGGAAAGGCCUCCUUCGGGGGGUACUCGAGCGGCGAACGGGUGAGUAACACGUGAGUAAUCUGCCCUUCACUUCGGGAUAGCUCUCGGAAACGGGGAUUAAUACCGGAUAUGACCAGGCCAUGCAUGUGGUGUGGUGGAAAGUUUUUUCGGUGGGGGAUGUGCUCGCGGCCUAUCAGCUUGUUGGUGGGGUAAUGGCCUACCAAGGCUUCGACGGGUAGCCGGCCUGAGAGGGUGACCGGCCACACUGGGACUGAGACACGGCCCAGACUCCUACGGGAGGCAGCAGUGGGGAAUAUUGGACAAUGGGCGGAAGCCUGAUCCAGCAACGCCGCGUGAGGGAUGACGGCCUUCGGGUUGUAAACCUCUUUCAGCACCGACGAAGCGAAAGUGACGGUACCUGCAGAAGAAGCACCGGCCAACUACGUGCCAGCAGCCGCGGUAAGAC